RNAcentral lists this transfer RNA (82 nucleotides) under Planctomycetota bacterium. Its description in RNAcentral is "tRNA-Leu". It matches the Rfam family "tRNA". From Rfam's summary of the family: Transfer RNA (tRNA) molecules are approximately 80 nucleotides in length. Their secondary structure includes four short double-helical elements and three loops (D, anti-codon, and T loops). Further hydrogen bonds mediate the characteristic L-shaped molecular structure. tRNAs have two regions of fundamental functional importance: the anti-codon, which is responsible for specific mRNA codon recognition, and the 3' end, to which the tRNAs corresponding amino acid is attached (by aminoacyl-tRNA synthetases). tRNAs cope with the degeneracy of the genetic code in two manners: having more than one tRNA (with a specific anti-codon) for a particular amino acid; and 'wobble' base-pairing, i.e. permitting non-standard base-pairing at the 3rd anti-codon position. The record is from RNAcentral. Lineage: Bacteria; Pseudomonadati; Planctomycetota.
GCAGGAGUGGCGGAAUUGGCAGACGCGCAGGACUUAGGAUCCUGUACCGAAAGGUGUAGGGGUUCAAAUCCCCUCUCCUGCA